GACGAACGCUGGCGGCGUGCUUAACACAUGCAAGUCGAACGGAAAGGCCCUGCUUUUGUGGGGUGCUCGAGUGGCGAACGGGUGAGUAACACGUGAGUAACCUGCCCUUGACUUUGGGAUAACUUCAGGAAACUGGGGCUAAUACCGGAUAGGAGCUCCUGCUGCAUGGGGGGGUUUGGAAAGUUUCGGCGGUUGGGGAUGGACUCGCGGCUUGUCAGCUUGUUGGUGGGGUAGUGGCUUACCAAGGCUUUGACGGGUAGCCGGCCUGAGAGGGUGACCGGCCACAUUGGGACUGAGAUACGGCCCAGACUCCUACGGGAGGCAGCAGUGGGGAAUAUUGCACAAUGGGCGGAAGCCUGAUGCAGCAACGCCGCGUGCGGGAUGACGGCCUUCGGGUUGUAAACCGCUUUCGCCUGUGACGAAGCGUGAGUGACGGUAAUGGGUAAAGAAGCACCGGCUAACUACGUG
RNAcentral lists this ribosomal RNA (468 nucleotides) under uncultured bacterium. Its description in RNAcentral is "partial 16S ribosomal RNA". It matches the Rfam family "Bacterial small subunit ribosomal RNA", at positions 28 to 507 of the family's 1533-position model. The record is from RNAcentral.